GUCUAUGGCCAUGCCUGAACAAGCCCGAUCCCAUCCAAUCUUGGAAGCUAAGCAGAGUCAGACCUGGUUAGUACUUGGAUGGGAGACCACCUAGGAAGACCAGGUGCUGUAGGCA
Molecule: ribosomal RNA, 115 nt
Filed under: Pteropus alecto (black flying fox)
Lineage: Eukaryota; Metazoa; Chordata; Mammalia; Chiroptera; Pteropodidae
Source: RNAcentral